CUCAAAUAGAUGCAGUGCUUGUGGAUCUGAUUAUCAGGCAAUAUGUGUUUCUCCUCCACAGUUCUCAAAAGGAGGGCCUUGGAGAUUCAUCUUUAGAAAGCCGAACAGAUCCUCGGAUAGAACCUAACCUUCUUGAACAGAAGAGCUUCAGCAAUGAGAGAACAGCUCGGCCCAGGCAAGACCCAAUCUGCCGUCCAACAUAUUCAAGUUCAUCAGUCACACAAAGAGAGAAAUUAUGCUGGUACCACUUGUCCCCAUUCAAGAGUGGAAUGGGUCUUCAUGGGCCACUGUUCCAGUUUAGCCGUGACAUUAUGAUUGAAGAAAUUGAUUGAAAGACUGUGCAUAGGCAUGCUGUCUGGAGCUCCGAUCAUCUCUGACUGCAGCCCACUAAGCUCCCAUUCAAAGCCAGGGGCGUCUCACCCUGAGACAGCUGAGCAUCAGCAAAUCACGGAUGGUUUGCUCACUUUUCUGAGUUUUGUUGAACUCUCAGCCCAGCAGGCAGGCUGGCAGAAACUCUGUCAAAGAUUAUUGGUAGUCUCUCCUCUCUUCAGUAGGUUCCUGAGUUCGUAUUUAUUUCAGGGCUUCAGAGAAGGUUUAACUCUGACCCACAUUUCACCAUUACUGCACUGAUCUCUACGCCAAGACACCAGGGAUUAAAUUAAAUACGACUAAAUUACUCAAACAAGCACACUGCCUGGGUACAGGGAAUAGAGCCAACACUGAGCUGAGGAUGCUGCAUGCACUCCUCACCACUGCCUUGUGCCCAAUACAAGACAUUUAGUGCCUCAAUGAACAAGUAGAGCACCUUGUCCAAUUUAAAGGACAUACAAAUUAUAGGUUAUAACACACACGCACACACACACAAUUUCUUAGCCUUGCUCUCAUGCCCUCACUCCCACUGGUAUUAUUCUGUGCACUUAUGAAUAUACAAGGCAGAAAAGCAGGACAGAACUGAGAGAGAAUGAGCUCCACUGUAUAUUGUACUGUGACACUCACUGGCUGGAGAUCUUUGUGUUUUACUGCAAAGACUCGCUGGGUGAAGGUUUUUGUUUUGUAAACACUCACUGGCUGGAGAUCUUUCACACAAACACCACAGAAACCAUGAAUAAGGAAACAAAGCUUGUAUUUUUCAAAGAGAAGAACAAAUACAGUUCUGGUUUAUUCUAGUUCAGCUCUAGUUAAGGUUCUACAAGACUGAAAUCCAUUUGUUAUUUUAUCAUGAUUGCUAAGUUGGAUUCUGAAGAUGAAGUCCCUCAAAGAGGUUCAGAUUCUCAUAACUGGCAGUUAUGUGCCGCCCUCUGCUGGUCAUUACUGAAUGUGAUGUUUGAGUGAUGUGUGCCUGUUUAUUUAGGCUGUACCUUUCUAAAGUAUAUAUUUGUUGACUGAAAAGGGAGUACGCCAGCAUUAAUACACAUUACCUCCUCAUAAUAUUGUAUAUUUGUUUGAGUUUAUAUUCAAGCUUUAGAAUCAAGCUAACUUCAUCUUAUACACUAAAAAAUUGGUGAAUUUACUUUAAAACAACGUUGACUUAGAAAUUGCUUGUAAAUUUCACAAAUAA
This is a long non-coding RNA of Ctenopharyngodon idella (grass carp), 1558 nucleotides long. RefSeq lists it as uncharacterized. The record is from RefSeq and is a predicted model, not a curated record. NCBI's taxonomy places the organism in Eukaryota, Metazoa, Chordata, Actinopteri, Cypriniformes, Xenocyprididae. The transcript is spliced from 4 exons.